ACGAACGCUGGCGGCGUGCUUAACACAUGCAAGUCGAACGGAAAGGCCCUGCUUUUGUGGGGUGCUCGAGUGGCGAACGGGUGAGUAACACGUGAGUAACCUGCCCUUGACUUUGGGAUAACUUCAGGAAACUGGGGCUAAUACCGGAUAGGAGCUCCUGCUGCAUGGUGGGGGUUGGAAAGUUUCGGCGGUUGGGGAUGGACUCGCGGCUUAUCAGCUUGUUGGUGGGGUAGUGGCUUACCAAGGCUUUGACGGGUAGCCGGCCUGAGCGGGUGACCGGCCACAUUGGGACUGAGAUACGGCCCAGACUCCUACGGGAGGCAGCAGUGGGGAAUAUUGCACAAUGGGCGGAAGCCUGAUGCAGCAACGCCGCGUGCGGGAUGACGGCCUUCGGGUUGUAAACCGCUUUCGCCUGUGACGAAGCGUGAGUGACGGUAAUGGGUAAAGAAGCACCGGCUAACUACGUG
Molecule: ribosomal RNA, 467 nt
Filed under: uncultured bacterium
Lineage: Bacteria
Description: partial 16S ribosomal RNA
Rfam family: Bacterial small subunit ribosomal RNA
Source: RNAcentral